This 286-nucleotide long non-coding RNA is filed under the name Elaeis guineensis (African oil palm). RNAcentral's name for it is "long non-coding RNA (EGUI_LNC048511)". Lineage: Eukaryota; Viridiplantae; Streptophyta; Magnoliopsida; Arecales; Arecaceae. The record is from RNAcentral.
AGGGAUUGGAAGACUAGAGAUUGAUGAUGAACUAGGUAAGAAACAAGAGUUAUAAUCAAAGGUGGAUCUAAAAAUUUGAUUCUUGAAAGAAAAUAUAUUUUUAAAGAAGAUUGCAUCUAUGGACUCAAUUAUGGUAUUAGUGGAUAUAUCAAUAAAAUCAAAAUGAGUAACAAGGAAACGAUAGGUAUUACUAUCAGGAGGAUAACCAAUAAAGAUGGAAUCAAUAGUUUUAGGAUCAAUAUUAUGUCUUUUAGAUUCUAAAACAACAACUAUAGCUAAGCACCCC